UCCAAGCUCAUGCUUAGUCCAGCAGUUUC
RNAcentral lists this non-coding RNA (29 nucleotides) under Rattus norvegicus (Norway rat). Lineage: Eukaryota; Metazoa; Chordata; Mammalia; Rodentia; Muridae. The record is from RNAcentral.